GAUGAACGCUAGCGGCAGGCCUAAUACAUGCAAGUCGGACGGGAUUCAGGAGCUUGCUUCAGAUGAGAGUGGCGCACGGGUGCGUAACACGUAUGUAACCUACCUUUAUCAGGGGGAUAGCCUCUCGAAAGAGAGAUUAAGCCCGCAUAAAAUCACAGCACAGCAUUGUGUAAUGAUCAAAUAUUUAUAGGAUAAAGAUGGGCAUGCGGAACAUUAGCUAGAUGGCGGGGUAACGGCCCACCAUGGCGACGAUGUUUAGGGGAUCUGAGAGGAUGGCCCCCCACACUGGUACUGAGACACGGACCAGACUCCUACGGGAGGCAGCAGUAAGGAAUAUUGGUCAAUGGGCGGAAGCCUGAACCAGCCAUGCCGCGUGCAGGAAGACGGCCCUACGGGUUGUAAACUGCUUUUAUACGGGAAUAAACCCAGAUACGUGUAUCUGGCUGAAUGUACUGUAAGAAUAAGGAUCGGCUAACUCCGUG
Molecule: ribosomal RNA, 482 nt
Filed under: uncultured bacterium
Lineage: Bacteria
Description: partial 16S ribosomal RNA
Rfam family: Bacterial small subunit ribosomal RNA
Source: RNAcentral